AUUGAACGCUGGCGGCAGGCCUAACACAUGCAAGUCGAGCGGAUGAAGGGAGCUUGCUCCUGGCUUCAGCGGCGGACGGGUGAGUAAUGCCUAGGAAUCUGCCUGGUAGUGGGGGAUGACGUCAGGAAACGGGCGCUAAUACCGCAUACGUCCUGAGGGAGAAAGUGAGGGAUCUUCGGACAUCACGCUAUCAGAUGAGCCUACGUCGGAUUAGCUAGUUGGUGAGGUAAAGGCUUACCAAGGCGACGAUCCGUAACUGGUCUGAGAGGGUGAUCAGCCACACUGGAACUGAGACACGGUCCAGACUCCUACGGGAGGCAGCAGUAGGGAAUCUUGCGCAAUGGGCGAAAGCCUGACGGAGCCAUGCCGCGUGAGUGAUGAAGGUCUUCGGAUCGUAAAGCUCUGUUAGUAGGGAAGAACAAAUGUGUGUGUAACUCUGCCUGUCUUGACGGUACCUACACAGAAAGCCCCGGCUAACUUCGUG
RNAcentral lists this ribosomal RNA (484 nucleotides) under uncultured bacterium. RNAcentral describes it as "partial 16S ribosomal RNA". It matches the Rfam family "Bacterial small subunit ribosomal RNA", at positions 30 to 507 of the family's 1533-position model. The record is from RNAcentral.